UUUUAGGUCACAUAUAAAAGGGAAGUGAACUGACAGCAUUUCCUGUGCUGCUGUCCUAGACAUAUAAGAGAUUAAAAAACCCUCGAUGAUCAGCGCUGAGCUGACUGCUGAGACAUGAGGACCUGAUGUAGAACUUCCUUGGAGGAUCUACAUAGUUUUUCUACAGUGCUCCAGCACACCAAAUGAGCUGCCAACACCCAACAGUCGCUACACAACUGCGUUUGCGGCAAACCCGAUGUGAAGCAAUGAUGAAUAUUAAUGUCCACCUCAGAUCAACUCAACAAAACUGAGUCAAUGUGAACAUGAGAACGUCAACCAUGGAGAGUCCUUCUACAAACUCGGUCCAAAGACUUCUCGUCUUCCUUCUGUGUCUCCUGCUUCUUCAUCACCCUUCACUGGCUUACUCCCUGAAAAACUGCACCUUUGAUUUUACUGAGGGAACUUUGGCUGAAGUUCAUCUGAAUUGCUCAAAGCGCCAACUUGUCUCUGUUCCUGAUGACAUCCCCAGAGAUGCUAACUCACUAACUCUCUAUGACAAUCAGAUCAAACAGAUCCAAAGAGGUGAUUUUGGGAACCUCUCACAGUUAAGUUUGCUGAACCUAGAUAGGAAUUUGAUUGCUCAUGUAGAUGAUGGAUCUUUCAUGUAUUUGGUGGCAUUGAAAGAACUCUACAUGGUGGAUAAUUAUCUCACACAUCUGACGAGCAGUGUCUUUCAGGGACUGUCGAACCUCACUGAGCUGGACCUCAAAUACAACAGAAUUACUUUUAUCCAUGACUCAGCCUUUCUCUUCCUGACCAGUUUACAAACUGUCAUCCUAGACUCCAACAGGUUACAAACUGUGAGUGACAUACAGCCGAUUCUGAAUCUACCACAGCUACAGAAACUGAGCAUUGCAUUUAAUCUGUUCUCCACCUUUGCGUCUAAAGAUCUGAAUCUGAACGUGUCCUCAAGCCUGAGAGAGUUGGUUGUUGAAGGUAAUCACCUCAGAAAAUUCAGCAUCACUACGCCUAUCUUCCCUCAUCUUCAGGAAAUCAACCUUUGCCCAUGUGGUCAGUCCUCUCCAUUUCAAUGGGACAUCCCUGAUAAGUCUUUACUGAGGAACAUAACUCGAAUGGAUUUAAGUCACUCAUAUGCUUUUGAAAACAUUGAAAAAGUCCUGCAGAGUCUCGACUCACUGCAACGAUUAAAACUUAAUUUCAUGGAGAGAUGGAUAGAAAAGGAUCUUUUAGCAACAGUCUGUAAAAUACCAACACUUCAGAGCCUGGAUCUGUCGUUCAAUCUUGAUCCAAACUUAAGUGCCACACUUGGAGCUUGCUCUCAGCUUAAGGAGCUUUACCUGACUAGUACUGGUAUAUCUAAGAUACCAAAAGGCUCAAUGGCAAUGAUGAAGCAACUAAGGUCUUUAGAUCUUUCCUUAAAUAUUCUCACCAAGGUGCCAGAAGACAUCAGAAGCCUCUCCUCCCUCAGGGUCCUCAGACUUGUAUUCAACCAAAUCUCUGAGUUGAGCUGUGAGGAUUUUCAAAACACAUCCAGUCUCAGGGAGCUCUUCCUGACUAAAAACCGAAUUGUGAAACUUGACAGGUGUGUUUUCCAAAAUCUUUACAGUCUUGAGGUUUUAGAUUUGAGCUGGAACAGGAUAUCGACAUUAGGAGGCGCCUUCAAAAAAGGCCCACCAAACCUUGAGAUCUUGAAUUUAAGGAAUAAUUUUGUUGUUACUAUUGACAAGGGUGAUUUUAAAGGUUUAGGGUCACUAAAACAGUUAGAUUUAAAAACUCAUGAAAUAUCAUAUGUAGACUUUGGAGCAUUUGCUGGUUUAAACAACGUUACAACUCUUUUCGUGUCUCUUCCAGUUUUUUUUGAUACUACAUUCCAGGUUUUACAACAAAUCACAAAUCUUACUAUCACUUUCCCUCUCACCCAAUCAGACUUCACUUUACACAGUCAUCAUCAAAACUUCAACAAAUCAUUCUUUGAAUUUAAAUCACUGAAGAAGCUCAAAAUGAUUUGCUCAGAUGAUCAUCUAGGAUUCCGUCUUAGUUCAGACAUACAGAUGAUUCAGUCUGCCAAACAUUUAGAGAAAUUCACAGCUGAGAAUUUAGUUCCUUGGACACCAAAUAAUGAUACAUUCAAGUUCAACUCCAAGCUGAGAAGUUUGACAAUCACACGGAACGACUUGUCUGAUUUGGGUCCUGAACUCUUCUGGCCAAUCCCAAACCUGGAAGAAGUGGACCUCUCUAGCACUAAACUCAAGUCUUUAGAUUUUCUGGCCCAGGCCAACCUGUCUGCACUCAAAUAUUUGCAUCUCAGUGACAAUGGUAUAACAGUGAUCAGUGAAACCAUCUUCCAGUCUCUUCCUGCUCUUCUGUACCUUGACCUGAGGAACAACCCUUUGACAUGUGACUGCUCUAACGCUGGCUUCAUCCAGUGGGUGAAGAGCAACAACCAAACUCUUGUAGAUGGCGCCCAUGACUACAUCUGUUCCUCUCCUCUGAUCAAACAGGGAACCAAGGUGUUGGACUUUGAUGUCCAGUCCUGUUGGAUGGACGUUGGCUUCCUCUGCUAUAUCUCCAGCUCUUGUCUGGUGGUGUUAACUCUCCUCACCUCUUUCAUCUACCACUUCCUGAGGUGGCAGAUGGUCUAUGCCUUCCUCCUCUUCCAGGCCUUCCUUUAUGACAGCAGGAAGAGGAGGAGAGGAGCCCCUCACCUCUACGAUGCCUUCAUCUCCUACAAUGUUGAGGAUGAGGCCUGGGUCUACAGAGAGAUGCUUCCAGUGCUGGAGGGAGAGCAGGGCUGGAGACUGUGUCUGCACCACAGAGACUUCCAACCAGGUAAACCUAUCAUAGAGAACAUCACAGACGCCAUCUACAGCAGCAGGAAGACCAUCUGUGUGAUCAGCCGGAGCUACCUGCAGAGCGAGUGGUGCUCCAGAGAGAUCCAGAUGGCCAGUUUCCGUCUGUUUGAUGAGAAGAAGGACGUGUUGAUCCUGCUGUUUCUGGAGGAGAUCCCCUCUCAUCAGCUGUCUCCGUACCACCGCAUGAGGAAGCUGGUGAAGAAACGCACCUACCUGUGCUGGCCGCAGGCUGGACGACACAAGGGAGUCUUCUGGCAGAACGUCUGGAGGGCUCUGGAGACGGGAGAGUCCACCAGAGACAACAUGAAUCCUCUGACUGGACCAGAGGGAUGCUGAGAACAUUCCUGAACCUGUGAGCUGAAAAUCAAAGAGAUGUGUUUGAUGCUAGUGGAGACUUUUAAUAUAAAAGGAUCAGACAAUGAAAAUAAAAACCAAGCAUCUUGAGCAUCUUGAGUUGUUUCAGCUAUUGUGGGUUUCCCCUGUUGUUUUUCUGGUAGUGGCUUUUCCACAAUACCAGUUUGCUGAGUGCAAUAAAUAAUCCAUGAGAGUCACUCUAGCAAAUGUUUAUGUGUACAUUCAGAGAGGUCCAUUCACUCAUUCUGUCUGUUCACACUGACAACUCAACACUGGACUAAAUAGACCAUCAGACCACCAAAUGAUGUCCUUGUGCUCCUGAUGUACAGCCAACACCUUAAGAUAGAGCAACUCAGAGUUGUUAACAGUUAAAGACACAGCACUGAGGACAACUUUAAUUCAAGAAUAAGAAUAACAUGCAACACUGUGGUGUUUUAAGUUGUAUUCUGUGUAUUAUUUUGGUUACUUCCGGUUUCCGGAGUAUCGUGCUGGCUGCUAACUUUACUCUGCUCUCCCUGAGGCAUCCACCCCUCCCCCCUGGUGCUGUGGAGAGUCACACCUGCAGCAAAUCACUCAUUUGACGGACACUACUUAAGAUCGGCUGCAGCUCUCUACAGCGCCUGAGUCUUGCAGAACUUACCUCACGUGCCUCCAGCCCAGAUCACCGCAGCCAGCACCAGCGCACUCUCUCACUCACCUGGACUCUUGGAAUCCCCCCUCCCUUAUUCACUUACCUGCACAAUAAAACUGUUCAAACCUGCUCCUCCGUUUCCGCAUUCUGGGUCCAACCACACUACCGCACAUAACACAACACAUGUUAAAUUAAAAGCCCACAACCACUGAUUUCACUACUUUCAAAUGUUUAAAUGCAAACAAAACUUAAUUUUAGGCCCAAGUCUUUUUCUAAGGUCAUCUGAGGACAUGAAAAAUAUUACAGCGUAUUCUCUUAGUCAAAUCUGUCUGUAGUACUUCUUCUCCCAUAGAUUAUCUCUAAAUAAUCUCUGAUUGGGUCUUCACUUCUGGACAUGUUUAAAUGGGGUCUUGUACCUUUAAAGUUUGUUAAAUAUGGUGGGGCCCAGAAGUGAUCCAUGUGGAACACCUUCAGAACAAAUUGUAACCCCCUGAGACUGAUGUUGUCAUAUGGGACAAGAAGAGACACAGGUUAAAAAGCUCAAAAGCUUUCCGGGGUCUUUACAGAUUCAAUCCACACAGCAGUAAAUCCAAUAUUGAAAGUCUUUCAAUCCUUUUUUGAUCGUUUCUGCUGCUAGCAGCUAAUGCUAGCCACUAUGCUGUCUAUUUUCUAUCCACCCAUGCACUGUAAGCAAGCUGACAACCAAUGGCAGGCUGUUCUAUUAUUGCAUCAUGCUUUGUAAAAAUCUAUGUUUUUACACUAACAUCAUGAAGAAGACGGCCUGAAUAACUCAUAAUGGAGAGAAAGAGAGACAGAGAGCCUGUGACGUGGCCCUCUGUGUCUCUGCAGACAGGAACUGCUUUGAAUAAUGGCACUGGUAAAGCAAACACAAAAAAAGUGGAAGGACUCUUUUUUGUAAAUAUGUGAAUAUUUUUCAGAUGUUUUGUCACAGAUUGAUUAUUUCUUCACUGUUUGGUCCCAAAAAGAUGGGAGAACACGUCUGUAAAAAAAAAAUCUCAGUCAUUGUUGUUCAGUGUGUGUCACACAUAAAAAACUUUGUUUUAAUUUCCGUUCAGUUUAGUAUUUUUGUCUAUAUAGUCACAUAACUGUUUUUCAUGAUUCUGAAAGCUCAGGUUGUCCAGAGAUAAAGAAUGUUUAGAUCUUGACCGUGCUCCACAGUUUUGAUGUUUUACAAACUUUGAAAGACAAAAAGUCAAGGAGAGACAAAAUGGAGAGAAAGCAGCUCAGGGCUCAGAGGGUUGAGAAGACCUGCUGGAAUAAUGU
This is an RNA transcript of Cheilinus undulatus (humphead wrasse), 5121 nucleotides long. It is a transcript of the gene named toll-like receptor 13, with no coding region annotated. The transcript has 6 exons. NCBI's taxonomy places the organism in Eukaryota, Metazoa, Chordata, Actinopteri, Labriformes, Labridae. The record is from RefSeq and is a predicted model, not a curated record.